AGAGUUUGAUCCUGGCUCAGAUUGAACGCUGGCGGCAUUGCUUUACACAUGCAAGUCGAACGGCAGCAUGGGUGCUUGCACCUGAUGGCGAGUGGCGAACGGGUGAGUAAUAUAUUGGAACGUACCGAGUAGUGGGGGAUAACUAAUCGAAAGAUUAGCUAAUACCGCAUACGCUUUGAGAAGGAAAGUAGGGGAUCGCAAGACCUUACGCUAUUUGAGCGGCCAAUAUCGGAUUAGCUGGUUGGUGGGGUAAGGGCCUACCAAGGCGACGAUCCGUAGCGGGUCUGAGAGGACGAUCCGCCACAUUGGGACUGAGACACGGCCCAAACUCCUACGGGAGGCAGCAGUGGGGAAUUUUGGACAAUGGGGGCAACCCUGAUCCAGCCAUGCCGCGUGUCUGAAGAAGGCCUUCGGGUUGUAAAGGACUUUUGUUAGGGAAGAAAAGGGAUUGGUUAAUACCCAGUUCUGCUGACGGUACCUAAAGAAUAAGCACCGGCUAACUACGUG
RNAcentral lists this ribosomal RNA (507 nucleotides) under uncultured Neisseria sp. RNAcentral describes it as "bacterial SSU rRNA". It matches the Rfam family "Bacterial small subunit ribosomal RNA", at positions 8 to 507 of the family's 1533-position model. The record is from RNAcentral. Lineage: Bacteria; Pseudomonadati; Pseudomonadota; Betaproteobacteria; Neisseriales; Neisseriaceae.